UACGGGGGGUGCGAGCGUUGUCCGGAUUCACUGGGCGUAAAGGGCGCGUAGGCGGUGAUGUAAGACAGAUGUGAAAUCCCCGGGCUCAACCUGGGAACUGCAUUUGUGACUGCAUCGCUGGAGUGCGGCAGAGGGGGAUGGAAUUCCGCGUGUAGCAGUGAAAUGCGUAGAUAUGCGGAGGAACACCGAUGGCGAAGGCAAUCCCCUGGGCCUGCACUGACGCUCAUGCACGAAAGCGUGGGGAGCAAACAGG
RNAcentral lists this ribosomal RNA (253 nucleotides) under uncultured bacterium. RNAcentral describes it as "partial 16S ribosomal RNA". It matches the Rfam family "Bacterial small subunit ribosomal RNA", at positions 524 to 776 of the family's 1533-position model. The record is from RNAcentral.